GACGAACGCUGGCGGCGUGCUUAACACAUGCAAGUCGAACGGAAAGGCCCUGCUUUUGUGGGGUGCUCGAGUGGCGAACGGGUGAGUAACACGUGAGUAACCUGCCCUUGACUUUGGGAUAACUUCAGGAAACUGGGGCUAAUACCGGAUAGGAGCUCCUGCUGCAUGGUGGGGGUUGGAAAGUUUCGGCGGUUGGGGAUGGACUCGCGGCUUAUCAGCUUGUUGGUGGGGUAGUGGCUUACCAAGGCUUUGACGGGUAGCCGGCCUGAGAGGGUGACCGGCCACAUUGGGACUGAGAGACGGCCCAGACUCCAACGGGAGGCAGCAGUGGGGAAUAUUGCACAAUGGGCGGAAGCCUGAUGCAGCAACGCCGCGUGCGGGAUGACGGCCUUCGGGGUGUAAACCGCUUUCGCCUGUGACGAAGCGUGAGUGACGGUAAUGGGUAAAGAAGCACCGGCUAACUACGUG
RNAcentral lists this ribosomal RNA (468 nucleotides) under uncultured bacterium. RNAcentral's name for it is "partial 16S ribosomal RNA". It matches the Rfam family "Bacterial small subunit ribosomal RNA", at positions 28 to 507 of the family's 1533-position model. The record is from RNAcentral.